RNAcentral lists this ribosomal RNA (471 nucleotides) under uncultured Pelotomaculum sp. RNAcentral describes it as "bacterial SSU rRNA". It matches the Rfam family "Bacterial small subunit ribosomal RNA", at positions 917 to 1381 of the family's 1533-position model. Lineage: Bacteria; Bacillati; Bacillota; Clostridia; Eubacteriales; Desulfotomaculaceae. The record is from RNAcentral.
GACGGGCCCGCACAAGCAGCGGAGCGUGUGGUUUAAUUCGACGCAACGCGAAGAACCUUACCAGGGCUUGACAUCCCCUGACCGCGUAUGAAAGUACGUUUUCACCCUCGGGUGACAGGGAGACAGGUGGUGCAUGGUUGUCGUCAGCUCGUGUCGUGAGAUGUUGGGUUAAGUCCCGCAACGAGCGCAACCCCUACGUUUAGUUGCUAACAGGUGAAGCUGAGCACUCUAGACGAACUGCCGUUGACAAAACGGAGGAAGGUGGGGAUGACGUCAAAUCAUCAUGCCCCUUAUGACCUGGGCUACACACGUGCUACAAUGGUUGGUACAACGAGUUGCGAGUCGGUGACGGCGAGCUAAUCUCUUAAAGCCAAUCUCAGUUCGGAUUGUAGGCUGCAACUCGCCUACAUGAAGUCGGAAUCGCUAGUAAUCGCGGAUCAGCACGCCGCGGUGAAUACGUUCCCGGGCCUU